Molecule: non-coding RNA, 463 nt
Organism: Thunnus maccoyii (southern bluefin tuna)
Lineage: Eukaryota; Metazoa; Chordata; Actinopteri; Scombriformes; Scombridae
Source: the annotation of a RefSeq genome assembly
UGCAUAUCUGUCCUGCCUCUCUGCUCCCAGCCGUUAAGAGGCCAGUGUUGAUCAGUGGCUGUCCAGACCUUUCACAGCCACUGACACGCCGCCGGCAGCACAAUGAUGAUGUCACUGACUCUACUGCUGGCCACCCUGGGGCUCCUUGUUCAGGGUUCGUCAGGACAAAUCAUCCUGACUCAGUCUCCUGGAUCUCAGUCUGUUGUUCCAGGACAGACUGUCUCCAUCAGAUGUAAAACCAGUUCAAGAGUUUAUAACGACCUCCAGUGGUACCUUCAGAAAUCUGGAGAAGCUCCUAAACUCCUGAUUUAUUAUGCUACAAGCCUUCAGCCUGGAGUUUCAGAUCGUUUUAGUGGAAGUGGAUACGGCACUGACUUCACUCUGGCCAUCAGUGGAGUUCAGGCUGAAGAUUCAGGAGUUUAUUACUGUCAGCAGGAUAACAGCUGGCCACUCACACAGUGAU